CUUUCUGAUUGUCUUUAGUGCUUAGCCUGCCAUUUUAUCUCCUAGCUAGGUGGGACCUGUGCCUGGUUCAUCUUCUUGCUGUGUUUGAGGUCCUGCCUCAGCCCUGCUCAAGCUUUUGUUGCUACCUGAUAUGAGAAGAUGGAUAGAUGAGGACUGGAAUGAAACUUUGGGAGGAGGACCAGUGCUAUGAAACAGGACUUUCCAAGCUGACUUUGACUGGAUUGCCACUGAUAAAAAUAUCAAAUCUGAAAUGGCUGCAGUACCUGGAAGGGGCAAAGGCUCACGGAGCAGUGUUGGGAUAACCUGGGCCCUCUGCAGUACGUGUGCCUUGGCCAUCCAUUGCUGUCACGAAGUGGAGAGCUGGAAAAGCAGCUCCCUUUGGAGCAAAAUCCCCCACUGGCUGCUGUGAGGUGCUUGUCAUCAAAUCCUGCACUGUGUGAACAGAACCAGUGCAUGAAUAGCUGGGCUAUGAGCAUAUUGACUGCUUUAGGUGUGGAAUGAGCACUCGGUUUCCAAAGUGAACCAGAGUACAUUUCAGCAGUGCUAGCAGUCCCUUAGACACUAUUUACAAAGCCUGCAGCUUCUGUGAUACUCUCUACUGUUGACCCCUCCUUUUAAUUGUGCCUUCCCAGCUCUUCUGUGAUAAAAGAGCACUGAAUAUCCACUGUUCUUCCUGGAGCAGAAAUAAUUUGGAAAGGUUGCAAGCAAACUGCCUUAAAUGUGUGAGCAGGCAAAAAAUUUCUAUUGGCAUUGAGUAAAGAACUGCUUGACUUCUCCUGUGCAGAAUGUAUUUUGAGACACUCUGAUAGAAAGGCAAACAGAAAUGGCCCCAUUAUGGUGCUGUUCAUUCUGAAAAACUCUGCUGUGACCCUGUUGCACCAGGAAGAGCAGCUGUUUUAGAGUCCCUUGCCCACACAACUAAAGCUGAUGGAAAGAUGGAUUUCUUUAGAAUAAAAAUGUUCCUGCCUGCAGUUCAGAUGGUUGAUGGAGCAGAUGUCAUGUUUUGACUGCAAAUCACAAUAGGUUUCAACUGGAAGCAAACCCAGCCUCCAUGGGUUUGUUGUGAUAGGAAACUUUAAUUCUCCAGUUGGAUGUAUUAAGAUGCUAAGAGUAGCAAUUGAGCUACUAUUUGAUUCUUGAAGUUUAACAUCCCAAAGAAGAGGUACAAGCCCUUGACCCCUGGGUAGCUAUGCAUGUCUGUAUUGGAUGCUUUUCAGUUUUCUUACUCUGAGAUUAUUUUCUGAGACACUUAGUGAAUGUAUAUACAUGUUUUCAUACGGUUCUUAAAUCUAAAUAUCAAGGUGCAGUGUGGGCUGAUGGCUGGCUGGGGAACCAGGAGCUGCAGGCUCUGGGCAUUCCUUGUCAGCCAGGCCCUGUCCCACUGCCUCUGAGGACAUCAGGUCCCUCUGGGGACAGGCCAUGGGAUGUCAGUCAGUGGAUCAGGGUUUGGAUCAAGGAGCUUCACAGCCAGGAAUGGGCAUGGCUGUGUGACACA
Parus major (Great Tit) is the source of this 1495-nucleotide long non-coding RNA. RefSeq lists it as uncharacterized. Lineage: Eukaryota; Metazoa; Chordata; Aves; Passeriformes; Paridae. The record is from RefSeq and is a predicted model, not a curated record. The transcript has 3 exons.